GACGAACGCUGGCGGCGUGCUUAACACAUGCAAGUCGAACGGAAAGGCCCUGCUUUUGUUGGGUGCUCGAGUGGCGAACGGGUGAGUAACACGUGAGUAACCUGCCCUUGACUUUGGGAUAACUUCAGGAAACUGGGGCUAAUACCGGAUAGGAGCUCCUGCUGCAUGGUGGGGGUUGGAAAGUUUCGGCGGUUGGGGAUGGACUCGCGGCUUAUCCGCUUGUUGGUGGGGUAGUGGCUUACCAAGGCUUUGACGGGUAGCCGGCCUGAGAGGGUGACCGGCCACAUUGGGACUGAGAGACGGACCAGACUCCUACGGGAGGCAGCAGUGGGGAAUAUUGCACAAUGGGCGGAAGCCAGAGGCAGCAACGCCGCGUGCGGGAUGACGGCCUACGGGUUGUAAACCGCUGUCGACUGUGACGAAGCGUGAGUGACGGUAAUGGGUAAAGAAGCAACGGCUAACUACGUG
RNAcentral lists this ribosomal RNA (468 nucleotides) under uncultured bacterium. RNAcentral's name for it is "partial 16S ribosomal RNA". It matches the Rfam family "Bacterial small subunit ribosomal RNA", at positions 28 to 507 of the family's 1533-position model. The record is from RNAcentral.